This 253-nucleotide ribosomal RNA is filed under the name uncultured bacterium. Its description in RNAcentral is "partial 16S ribosomal RNA". It matches the Rfam family "Bacterial small subunit ribosomal RNA", at positions 524 to 776 of the family's 1533-position model. The record is from RNAcentral.
UACGAAGGGGGCUAGCGUUGUUCGGAAUUACUGGGCGUAAAGGGCGUGUAGGCGGUCCGCUAAGUCAGGUGUGAAAGGCCUGGGCUCAACCCAGGAAAUGCGCCUGAGACUGACGGACUUGAGUCCGGGAGAGGAUGGUGGAACUCCCAGUGUAGAGGUGAAAUUCGUAGAUAUUGGGAAGAACACCCGUGGCGAAGGCGGCCAUCUGGACCGGUACUGACGCUGAGGUGCGAAAGCGUGGGGAGCAAACAGG